UCGAAGGCCCAGCUGAUGAUGCAGGAUUUUGCAGGUUUCGGGAGGUCGAUCGCAUUUAAGAUUUGCUGUUGUGAUCCCGAGGUGUUGUUGUUAGAAUGGGAGUAGCUCGAAUUCUAGCCCGCUCCUAGUAUUGGCACUGUAUCGGUUGAGCGUGGUGCACCACAAACAGCCUCGGCUGUAGGGUUCGAUUGCAUUGAUCAAAUUUUUUCUUUAGAGAGAAGUUUCGACCUUGUGUGUCGGUGCAUGGCGUUAGUCAUCGGCAGAGCGAUGGGGCUCGGCACGUAUGAUGCCAAGCUGCAA
This 300-nucleotide long non-coding RNA is filed under the name Coccomyxa subellipsoidea. RNAcentral's name for it is "long non-coding RNA (CSUB_LNC000131)". The record is from RNAcentral. Lineage: Eukaryota; Viridiplantae; Chlorophyta; Trebouxiophyceae; Coccomyxaceae.